GAACGCACAUUGCGCCCGCCAGUAUUCUGGCGGGCAUGCCUGUUCGAGCGUCAUUUCAACCCUCAAGCCCCCGGGCUUGGUGUUGGGGAUCGGCGUGCCCUCGCGGCGCGCCGUCCCCUAAAUCUAGUGGCGGUCUCGCUGUAGCUUCCUCUGCGUAGUAGCAACACUCGCACUGGAUCGCAGCGCGGCCACGCCGUUAAACCCCCCACUUCUGAAAGUUUGACCUCGGAUCAGGUAGGAAUACCCGCUGAACUUA
This 256-nucleotide unclassified non-coding RNA is filed under the name Neonectria candida. Its description in RNAcentral is "sequence contains 5.8S rRNA gene". The stretch from base 1 to 53 matches the Rfam family "5.8S ribosomal RNA", at positions 102 to 154 of the family's 154-position model. Lineage: Eukaryota; Fungi; Ascomycota; Sordariomycetes; Hypocreales; Nectriaceae. The record is from RNAcentral.